CCUACGGGGCGCAGCAGUGAGGAAUAUUGGUCAAUGGACGAGAGUCUGAACCAGCCAAGUAGCGUGAAGGAUGACUGCCCUAUGGGUUGUAAACUUCUUUUAUAUGGGAAUAAAAUGUUCCACGUGUGGGAUUUUGUAUGUACCAUAUGAAUAAGGAUCGGCUAACUCCGUGCCAGCAGCCGCGGUAAUACGGAGGAUCCGAGCGUUAUCCGGAUUUAUUGGGUUUAACGGGAGCGUAGGUGGAUUGUUAAGUCAGUUGUGAAAGUUUGCGGCGCAACCGUAAAAUUGCAGUUGAAACUGGCAGUCUUGAGUACAGUAGAGGUGGGCGGAAUUCGUGGUGUAGCGGUGAAAUGCUUAGAUAUCACGAAGAACUCCGAUUGCGAAGGCAGUUCACUGGACUGCAACUGACACUGAGGCUCGAAAGUGUGGGUAUCAAACAGGAUUAGAUACCCUGGUAGUC
RNAcentral lists this ribosomal RNA (460 nucleotides) under uncultured bacterium. RNAcentral's name for it is "partial 16S ribosomal RNA". It matches the Rfam family "Bacterial small subunit ribosomal RNA", at positions 338 to 795 of the family's 1533-position model. The record is from RNAcentral.